UACGGAGGGUGCAAGCGUUAUCCGGAUUUACUGGGUUUAAAGGGUGCGUAGGCGGACUAUUAAGUCAGAUGUGAAAGCUUGCAGCUCAACUGUAAGAUUGCGUUUGAUACUGGUAGUCUUGAAUUAAGUAGAAGUGGGCGGAAUAAUUCAAGUAGCGGUGAAAUGCUUAGAUAUGAAUUAGAACACCAAUUGCGAAGGCAGCUCACUAUGUUUACAUUGACGCUGAGGCACGAAAGCGUGGGGAUCAAACAGG
RNAcentral lists this ribosomal RNA (253 nucleotides) under uncultured bacterium. RNAcentral's name for it is "partial 16S ribosomal RNA". It matches the Rfam family "Bacterial small subunit ribosomal RNA", at positions 524 to 776 of the family's 1533-position model. The record is from RNAcentral.